This 253-nucleotide ribosomal RNA is filed under the name uncultured bacterium. RNAcentral's name for it is "partial 16S ribosomal RNA". It matches the Rfam family "Bacterial small subunit ribosomal RNA", at positions 524 to 776 of the family's 1533-position model. The record is from RNAcentral.
UACGGAGGAUCCAAGCGUUAUCCGGAAUCAUUGGGUUUAAAGGGUCCGUAGGCGGUUUAAUAAGUCAGUGGUGAAAGCCCAUCGCUCAACGGUGGAACGGCCAUUGAUACUGUUAAACUUGAGUUAUUAGGAAGUAACUAGAAUAUGUAGUGUAGCGGUGAAAUGCUUAGAGAUUACAUGGAAUACCAAUUGCGAAGGCAGGUUACUACUAAUGGAUUGACGCUGAUGGACGAAAGCGUGGGUAGCGAACAGG